RNAcentral lists this small nucleolar RNA (107 nucleotides) under Gossypium hirsutum (cotton). RNAcentral's name for it is "Plant small nucleolar RNA R71". It matches the Rfam family "Plant small nucleolar RNA R71". From Rfam's summary of the family: R71 is a member of the C/D box family of snoRNAs containing the C (UGAUGA) and D (CUGA) box motifs. Multiple nearly identical copies of this snoRNA have been identified in Arabidopsis, and it is thought to function as a 2'-O-ribose methylation guide for 18S ribosomal RNA. The record is from Rfam by way of RNAcentral. Lineage: Eukaryota; Viridiplantae; Streptophyta; Magnoliopsida; Malvales; Malvaceae.
AACCCAUGGUGAGGGCACCUUCUCAAUAAGUCCUUGUAUCUCUUCCAUGCAUCAUAAAGAGUUUCGAGAUCUAUCUGCACAAAAUAAGAGAUAUCAUUCCUUAAUUU